ACCUACGGGGGGCAGCAGUGGGGAAUAUUGCACAAUGGGCGAAAGCCUGAUGCAGCGACGCCGCGUGAAGGAUGAAGUAUUUCGGUAUGUAAACUUCUAUCAGCAGGGAAGAAAAUGACGGUACCUGACUAAGAAGCCCCGGCUAACUACGUGCCAGCAGCCGCGGUAAUACGUAGGGGGCAAGCGUUAUCCGGAUUUACUGGGUGUAAAGGGAGCGUAGACGGCGAUGCAAGCCAGAUGUGAAAGCCCGGGGCUCAACCCCGGUACUGCAUUU
This 274-nucleotide ribosomal RNA is filed under the name uncultured bacterium. Its description in RNAcentral is "partial 16S ribosomal RNA". It matches the Rfam family "Bacterial small subunit ribosomal RNA", at positions 337 to 628 of the family's 1533-position model. The record is from RNAcentral.